RNAcentral lists this ribosomal RNA (803 nucleotides) under Senecio sylvaticus. RNAcentral's name for it is "eukaryotic LSU rRNA". The stretch from base 372 to 527 matches the Rfam family "5.8S ribosomal RNA". The record is from RNAcentral. Lineage: Eukaryota; Viridiplantae; Streptophyta; Magnoliopsida; Asterales; Asteraceae.
GGCGGUUCGCCGCCGGCGACGUCGCGAGAAUUCCACUGAACCUUAUCAUUUAGAGGAAGGAGAAGUCGUAACAAGGUUUCCGUAGGUGAACCUGCGGAAGGAUCAUUGUCGAAACCUGCAUAGCAGAACGACCUGUGAACAUGUAACAACAAUCGGGUGUUCUAGGUAUCGGGCUCUUGUCCGGUUCCUAGGAUGCCAUGUUGACGUGCGUCUUUGGCAAGACCCUUGGGUUUUCUAAGGACGUCACGUUGACACAAUAACAAACCCCCGGCACGGCAUGUGCCAAGGAAAUAUAAACUUAAGAAGGGCUUGUUCCAUGCUUUGCCGUUCGCGGUGAUUGCGUUGAAUCUUGCUUCUUUAUAAUCAUAAACGACUCUCGGCAACGGAUAUCUCGGCUCACGCAUCGAUGAAGAACGUAGCAAAAUGCGAUACUUGGUGUGAAUUGCAGAAUCCCGUGAACCAUCGAGUUUUUGAACGCAAGUUGCGCCCGAAGCCUUUUGGCCGAGGGCACGUCUGCCUGGGCGUCACACAUCGCGUCGCCCCCCAUCACACCUCUUGACGGGGAUGUUUGAAUGGGGAGCGGAGAUUGGUCUCCCGUUUCUAAGGUGCGGUUGGCUGAAUUUUGAGUCCUCUUCGAUGGACACACGAUUAGUGGUGGUUGAAAAGACCUUCUUAUCGAGUCGUGCGAUCCUAGGAGUAAGGAAGAUCUCUUUAAUGACCCUAAUGUGUCGUCUCAUGACGAUGCUCCGACUGCGACCCCAGGUCAGGCGGGACUACCCGCUGAGUUUAAGCAUAUCAAUAAG